RNAcentral lists this ribosomal RNA (520 nucleotides) under uncultured Phaeoacremonium. Its description in RNAcentral is "SSU rRNA". It matches the Rfam family "Eukaryotic small subunit ribosomal RNA", at positions 214 to 732 of the family's 1831-position model. The record is from RNAcentral. Lineage: Eukaryota; Fungi; Ascomycota; Sordariomycetes.
AUUAAAAACCAAUGCCCUUCGGGGCUUCACUGGUGAUUCAUAAUAACUUCUCGAAUGGCAUGGCCUUGCGUCGGCGAUGGUUCAUUCAAAUUUCUGCCCUAUCAACUUUCGACGGCAGGGUCUUGGCCAGCCUUGGUGACAACGGGUAACGGAGGGUUAGGGCUCGACCCCGGCGAAGAAGGAGCCUGAGAAACGGCUACUACAUCCAAGGAAGGCAGGAGGCGCGCAAAUUACCCAAUCCCGAUACGGGGAGGAAGUGACAAUAAAUACUGAUACAGGGCUUUUUGGGUCUUGUAAUUGGAAUGAGUACAAUUUAAAUCCCUUAACGAGGAACAAUUGGAGGGCAAGUCGGUGCCAGCAGCCGCGGUAAUUCCAGUCCAAUAGCGUAUAUUAAAGUUGUUUGCAGUUAAAAAGCUCGUAGUUGAACCUUGGGCCUGGCUGGCCGGUCCGCCUCACCGCGUGCACUGGUCCGGCCGGGCCUUUCCCUCUGGGGAGCCGCAUGCCCUUCACUGGGUGUGUC